This is a long non-coding RNA of Gallus gallus (chicken), 3730 nucleotides long. RefSeq lists it as uncharacterized. NCBI's taxonomy places the organism in Eukaryota, Metazoa, Chordata, Aves, Galliformes, Phasianidae. The record is from RefSeq and is a predicted model, not a curated record. The transcript has 4 exons.
UAGAUUUGGUAGCCAGCUAGUAAGCAAAUCCCAUAAAUCUCCUUCCCAGUUGGUGUCUUCUUGACGGACUGCUGCCAGUCAGACCUGAAAGACAAAUCCUUGAAGAUGCAGAAGACACCUGGCUUACUGAUGGAAGCAGUUUUUUGAGACAAGGAAUCCGUAAGACAGGGUAUGCAGUAACUGCUACUGACAAGGUAAUCGAAGCACAACCAUUACCUGUGGGGACUUUCUCUCAGAAGGCUGAAAUAGCUGCCUUGACAGGAGCCUGGAAUAUAUGGACAGAUGCUAAUUAUGUAUUUGGGGUGCUACACGCUCAUAGCACCACCUGAAAAGAGCAAGGAGUGCUCACACACAAGGAAAAACAGCAUGAUGUAAAUCUACCAAAGAGCGUGGCUAUUAUAAAUUGUAAAGAACAUCAGAAAGGGAACACUGUACAGGAAACUGGGGAUAAGAUGGAGGAUCAGGUGGCAGAACAGGUAGUUGAAGAGGGCUUUAAUUCCAGACGGUAAACUUACAAUUUCUGAACAAGAGUCAGAACCUGUAAAAGAUUUUUAAGAGGAUAGCAAUCUAAUUAAUGAUUAAGAAGGGAAGAGAGCAGGAUGACAGAUGGACACAUUGUUUUGCCCUUCGGUAUUCUGUGGAAAUUGGUUCUAAGGGAGGAUAAGAAAAUGUAUUGGGCAAACGGACAUUACAAAGUACGAUCCUAGUACCAGGAAAGGGGUUCAAGUGGGCCUAUUGGGAAAGAGAACCUUCCAGGGCAACGAUGACCAAUUGAUUUCUCGAAACUCCCAAGAAAAGGGGGGUAUCGCUGUGUGUUGGUACUAACUGAUACCUUUUUGGGAUGGCCAGAGGUAUUUCCCUGUAGGACUCAUAAGACUCGGGAAGUAACGAGAAUGCUGUUACAUGAAUUAAUUCCAAGGUUCGAAGUUCCUGUAGCAAUCUCAUCAGAUUGAGGCCCACAUUUUUGCCAAGGUGGUCCAACAAAUAAGCACGUUAUUGGGAAUUGAUUGGCAAUUGCACACACCUUACAGACCGCAGUCAAGCGGACAGGUGGAAAAAUGAAUCACCUGAUCAAAUUACAGGUAGUAAAAUUUGGCCAAGAGGCUGGGAUUCCCUGGCCGCAGGCACUGCCUUUGGCACUUCUGAGAAUUCAGACUAAACCCCAAACCAAGGAAGGAUGAAGCCCAUAUGAGAUUCUUCAUGGGCGACCUUAUACUGUCCAAAAGGCAAUCUCUAUGCAGGUUGGGGAUAAGGUGUUGAGUGAAUAUAUGGUCAGCUUGGCGAAGCAAUUAAAGAAAAUUGAACAGUAUUCGGUGCCAGGGUACGAGGCCUAGAUGGUCCAGUGCAUGAUGUAUUGCCAGGAGACUAUGUUUAUGUUGAAUCUCUCUCAGAUUGACCUCUGGAAGCAAAGUGGGGAGGACCCUACCAAGUUCUCCUGACCACCCGUACCACCGCCAAGGUAGAGGGACUUACACCGUGGAUACAUCAUACCCGCCUGAAGAAAGCACCAGGACCACAGUGAACAGCAGAAGAGAGAGGGCCACUGAAAAUCAGGAUGCGAAAGCAUGUACAAGUGUUUGAUAAUAGUCAGUAUGAUUGGAGCAGUAGCCACAGCUUGGCAAGAGAAGAGCUACGUAAAAAUAACUGAGAAAAUUGGCCAGGAUCUCACCAAAUCUUGUUGGAUUUGCACUGCCCUCCCUAGAGGGGAGGGAAAGGUGCCAGUUUGUGGGAUAGUGGCACUAAAUUGGACCAUUCCAGAUUGGGUAGAGCACGGAAAGUGUAAGUUUGGGAUAGAAGACAGCCACAAAAGGGACCUAAGUUUGAUUUACUCGUUAUUAAGUGUACUAGAUCUACCUUUGUAGACAGAAAAACUGAUGGUAAAGGUGGGGUGGGGGUUGGAUGACGGAACUUGACAGGCAUAGGAUGUAGUGGGGAAUAUGGAAAUUCUGGGGCAGUAUGAGGGAUCAGUGAAGCUGGAAGGUGGAACCAAGGUGAGGGGUGUGAUCCUAGAACCGAUAAGGAGUCACACUGGGUCUCAAAUAAGAACGUACUUGGAAUUGUAGAGAUGGGAGCAUCAUUCACUCAUCAGGAAAAUAUGGCCAGGCCAUGUAAGUUACCUCAUGGAUACUCGUGGCUAUGUGGAGACGGCCAGUCACGAAAGGCGUUACCUUUAAAUUGGACAGGGACUUGUAUUACAAGAUACAUAAUACCCCAGACCACGGUGCAUGAGGAAAUCCCUUGGGGACUCCUGAGGACCCCUUGGAUUCAAACUAAGUGUACAUACAACCCCCUAGCUAGAUACAACAAGGGAUACCACAGCUUUCUGAGAGCCCUUAUCCCAGCUCUAGGAGUUACCCAUCUAGAAAAAGCUAUAGUAAAUAUCUCUGCAACUCUGGAAAUCAUAGAGAAUGCCACAAUGGGUGCAUUACGAGCAAUCCAAGAAGAGGUAUCCUCCUUAUCCAAAGUAGUACUCCAAAAUAGGAUGGCAUUAGACCUAUUAACAGCCAAGGAAGGAGGGGGUCUGAUUUCCGCACGUCAAGAGCUGCUUGUGUCCUGGGAGGAGAGCGAGCCGUUCCCUGUGUCUGUCAGAGGAGUGAAGGUGCCAAAAUGCCGGCCCAUCUGGGCAGGUGGGUGCAGCAGGGCCCAGAACGCAGGGAGGGGAAGCCAGAAGCACUGCGUGCUGCCGGGCUUCCUCCAGCUGGGUGGCACAACGUCCCCUUCCGUGGGCACAGCCCUGCUCCUGCUCUGGGCAGAGCCAAAUGGGGCUAAAAGGAUCCCAGCAGAGCGUGUCCCAGCGCUGGGCUGUGAUAACCACCAUCUGAUCUCUCCCUUAGGCAACACGCUGCCAAAGAGAGGGGAAGGAGAACUCCCGUCCUGCUUCUAGUAGUCCUUUCUGCUGGAGCCUUCCUCUGGAUAUUGGCAGCUUGGAAAAAUGACGUCCUGCAGGAAAUUGUGCAGCUGCCAAGAGAUGCAGUCGAGGAGGUGGUGGAACGCUCCACCUGGAUGCCCAGUUGGACUCUAAAAACCAUGGGUAUGUAGGCAGACAGCUUCACUACCCUCACCUUUGCCUCUGGCACUUCUCAAAGCCUGCCAAGCUUUGCUUUCUGACAGAGUUAUCUCAUAGAGCUUUAGGACGGCUGAGGUCUGAACGGACAUUACAGACCAUCCCAGUCCAACUCCCUGCCGUUGGAUGACAGGGCUGCCACCCUUUCCAUCACGCUGCUCAGGGCCCCAUCCAACCAGGUCUCCAACGCCUCGAGGAAUGGGGAAUCCAUGGCUUCUCUGGGCAGCACAUUGCAGAGGGCAGGGUCAAGGAUUUCCUCCUGACGUCCCAUCUAAAUCUCCCCUCUCUGACAAUGGAAAAAGCCUUCAGCUGUGCUCCCAGGGCUGACUGGCUCCUUGUUUUUUUUUCCCCUCCCUUUUAGCAGCUACCAGCUAUGAGUCUGCCCUUUAUUGUAGGAGCGCUGUGUAAGGGACUAAAAGCCACCCUGUUCUUUGCCAAUUAUUGGCCUAUAGUUAACAUCUUGCUGUGGAAUUGUGCUCAUAUAUAGCCAAAUAAGGGCCCUGAUGGAGACACCUGCCUGGUACUUUUAUGCAAUGUGGUGUGGAGAGAUUUAUUGAUGACUGGCUGACUGAGAAAAGCCAUGCAGACACUGUGCAGCUGGUUAAGCAACCUUGUUACGCGCAAGGUCAGGUAUGAGAACUAGGAACAAAACAGGAUGCCGAUGGA